CAUACAGGAUAUGAUUGGCUUUGUUCCAAAUCACAAUAGAGUUCAAAAUUCAACAUAUUGAUGCUAGUGAAACAAUAAUUAUGAUGGGUUGAGUGUAUAACGACCUAAGACCUCAUCUAAAAAGAUUAGCCAGAAGAUAAUUAUUUGGGUUCUUUGGUAUAAGUUCUCAAGAUCUUUCUAAUAAAUAACCGAUGUGGAACUAAAUAUAUAUCUGCAUUGAUCCUUACAUAUUCUUUCAUUUAAGUCC
RNAcentral lists this long non-coding RNA (247 nucleotides) under Elaeis guineensis (African oil palm). Its description in RNAcentral is "long non-coding RNA (EGUI_LNC073222)". The record is from RNAcentral. Lineage: Eukaryota; Viridiplantae; Streptophyta; Magnoliopsida; Arecales; Arecaceae.